Molecule: non-coding RNA, 414 nt
Organism: Cajanus cajan (pigeon pea)
Lineage: Eukaryota; Viridiplantae; Streptophyta; Magnoliopsida; Fabales; Fabaceae
Source: RefSeq, a predicted model, not a curated record
CCAAAACCUCGAGAACGCCCAGAGAACUUGUCAACAACCACCUGUUUCAAAAAUAUGGUGAGGAAGAACAUUAACAAUCUCCAAAACAAAAAUAAAGCUUAGAUUCAUAAUCAUAUUACACAUUUCUUUUAUUUGUUUACUUGAUUUGGUAAUAAACUAGUUCAGCCGGUAUUGCAAUUUUCCUGCUAGAAUAAAAACAAAGAAUAAAUUGUGGAUCUCAACCAAAGUGUACAACAUAAACCAACUUCAAAGCACAAACAUGAAAUACAAUACUGACAGCAAUAACUUCAUUGAGAUGAACAACAAUGAUUAUAGUCAUAAUACGAUACUGAUCACCUUUGCCUCAACAAGCUUGCCAAACUUUUCAAAUGUAUCCUUUAACUUUCUAUCAGAUGUUGACCAUGCAAGGCCACC